AUGCACGCUGGCGGCGUGCCUCAUCCAUGCCAGUCGAGCGCACAGAUGAGGAGCUUGCUCCUCUGACGUUAGCGGCGGACGGGUGAGUAACACGUGGAUAACCUACCUAUAAGACUGGGAUAACUUCGGGAAACCGGAGCUAAUACCGGAUAAUAUAUUGAACCGCAUGGUUCAAUAGUGAAAGACGGUUUUGCUGUCACUUAUAGAUGGAUCCGCGCCGCAUUAGCUAGUUGGUAAGGUAACGGCUUACCAAGGCAACGAUGCGUAGCCGACCUGAGAGGGUGAUCGGCCACACUGGAACUGAGACACGGUCCAGACUCCUACGGGAGGCAGCAGUAGGGAAUCUUCCGCAAUGGGCGAAAGCCUGACGGAGCAACGCCGCGUGAGUGAUGAAGGUCUUCGGAUCGUAAAACUCUGUUAUUAGGGAAGAACAAAUGUGUAAGUAACUAUGCACGUCUUGACGGUACCUAAUCAGAAAGCCACGGCUAACUACGUG
Molecule: ribosomal RNA, 496 nt
Filed under: uncultured bacterium
Lineage: Bacteria
Description: partial 16S ribosomal RNA
Rfam family: Bacterial small subunit ribosomal RNA
Source: RNAcentral